AAGGGGCAGUAAUGCGUGGGUAAUCUACCCUGGGGACCGGGAUAGCUCUUCUAACGAGGAGGUAAUACCGGGCAAUGUGAUUGGGAGGCAUCUUUUGAUCACCAGAUGAAUUUCGCCCUGGGAGGAGCUCACGUCGUAUUAGCUAGUUGGUGGGGUAACGGCCCACCAAGGCAAAGAUGCGUAGCGGGUGUGAGAGCACGACCCGCGCCACUGGCACUGAGACACUGGCCAGACACCUACGGGUGGCUGCAGUCGAGGAUCUUUGGCAAUGGGCGCAAGCCUGACCAAGCGACGCCGCGUGUGCGAUGAAGGCCUUCGGGUUGUAAAGCACUGUCGAGGGGGAUCAAGGCGCAAGCUUGAGAGAUCCCUGGAGGAAGCACGGGCUAAGUUCGUGCCAGCAGCCGCGGUAAGACGAACCGUGCGAACGUUGUUCGGAAUCACUGGGCUUAAAGGGCGCGUAGGCGGCUCAUCAAGUCGGGGGUGAAAUACUUCAGCUUAACUGGAGAAGUGCCUUCGAUACUGGUGGGCUUGAGGGAGGUAGGGGUCUUUGGAACUUCUGGUGGAGCGGUGAAA
RNAcentral lists this ribosomal RNA (573 nucleotides) under uncultured bacterium. RNAcentral describes it as "bacterial SSU rRNA". It matches the Rfam family "Bacterial small subunit ribosomal RNA", at positions 102 to 686 of the family's 1533-position model. The record is from RNAcentral.